RNAcentral lists this ribosomal RNA (497 nucleotides) under uncultured bacterium. RNAcentral's name for it is "partial 16S ribosomal RNA". It matches the Rfam family "Bacterial small subunit ribosomal RNA", at positions 28 to 507 of the family's 1533-position model. The record is from RNAcentral.
GAUGAACGCUGGCGGCGUGCCUAAUACAUGCAAGUCGAGCGAACAGACGUGGUUCUUGUUCCUCUGACGUGAGCGGCGGACGGGUGAGUAACACGUGGAGAACCUACCUAUAAGACUGGGACAACUUCUGGAAACCGGAGCUAAUACCGGAUAAUAUAUUGAACCGCAUGGUUCAAUUGUGAAAGAUGGUUUUGCUGUCACUUAAAUAUGUAUCCGCGCCGCAUUAGCUAGUUGGUAAGGUAAGGGUUUACAAAGACAACGAUACUUAGCCGACCUGAGAGGGGGGUAGGCCACACUGGAACUGAGACACGGUCCAGACUCCUACGGGAGGCAGGCGUAGGGAAUCUUCCGCAAUGGGAGAAAGCCUGACGGCGCAACGCGGGGUGGGUGAUGAGGGUAUUCGGAUGGUAAAACUCUGUUAUUAGGGAAGAACAAAUGUGUAAGUAACAAUGCACGUAUUGACGGUACCUAAUCAGAAAGCCACGGCUAACUACGUG